Molecule: long non-coding RNA, 33297 nt
Organism: Gasterosteus aculeatus aculeatus (three-spined stickleback)
Lineage: Eukaryota; Metazoa; Chordata; Actinopteri; Perciformes; Gasterosteidae
Source: Ensembl
AAAUCUUCAAUUUUCAAGAAUUGAAUUUUCAAUGAGACUUUUGUGAUAUACUGCAUGCCAACUUAAACUAAUUUAAUCCUAAACCUAACCUUUAUAGCUUACUUUAUCAUAUAUCACUUAUCUAUCACAGGAAUAGCGAAUGUAACAACAAAAAAGCUCUUCUCUCAAGACUUUUCAUUUACAUUGUAGACAAUUUAGAUAUCCUUGACACCUGAUGCUUCUUUCCUCUGAAAGCAUAUUGUAUUAUCGCUCCCAUCUCAAUUCAUCUCAUCACACCCUGCGUCUGUGUGGACAAUGUCGGCGCUCAUGCCCACAGGGAUGUUUGUCAUUUUGAUAGCAGGUGGGAUAAGAAGCGUAGUCAGGCAGAGACAAAAACAGCUACAAAACCACAAAGGUUUAAAAGAAAUGGAACGAAAGUCUCCUUCAUUUCUUCCGAGAUUUCAAUAACAAUGUCAUUGAAUGCAGCUUAGGACAGAUGCCCUUAUUAAUUUGAUUUAUCUGUCCUCUACUCAGCUCUUUUUCGUCUGAAGUUAUCAGCUGCAAGGGCAAUAGUGUUAUUCAAGUACCUCCACAAUCUGUAGCUCAAUAGAGAAAAAGGGGCAUUUUCGUCCUUUUGUUUGUAGCUCUGUUAGUGAAAGAAAUCCAGUCCCCUGAGCUCCAAGCAAAGAAUGAAUGUCCAGAGGUUACAGAAGUAAUCAACUUCCAUUCCAUGAGGGAGGAACAAUAAUACCACUUUAAGGCGACGCCAACGCCGGUUUCCUCUUCUGUUAUAACAAUUUUGAAUAAUACGGUUGUCGGAAUUUUCUGGUAUGUUUUUCCCGCCCGACCAAUGUUUAUUUCCUCGCGGCUUCAUCUUCUUUUAUACGUGACACUAAUUUCCAAUAUCGCAGAAUUUCAUUUUUCACACCCAGACUAAAAAAGCAGCCGGCCCCUUUCAACAAAUACGCUCAAACAAGCUCUUCAAUGCGAAAACAUUACAGCUUUGUUUCAACACAGAGGAGGGCGAGUGUUGCCAGCGAGAGCUUAAAAUGGCUGCCGAAAGUCGGAAUACUGGAGCUGAACCAAGCCCAGCAGACGGUGGACUGGCUUGCGGGUUGGAUGGCUCGGUUCGAAGACAGCAGCUUGUUAGGGUGGAAAUGGAUUAGCGAGAGGCACAAUGGGAGUCUUAGGCGUGUCUGCGGUGUUGUGUUAAAGCCCUGCCUACGUUGCCCGGGCUGCUAGACUCAUUUAUGCCCAGCGGUGCAUGCAGCAGCCAACUCUCUCACACACACACACACACACACACACACACACACGCACACACACACACACACACACACACACACACAGGGCUUUUCUAAUUGCCAUGGUUUCUCCUGCACUUUCAGCGGCAGCCUGCGAUUCGGCUUCCAUCAAAGGAGUGAGCAGACCCACGAAGCCCCACAAUUGUUUUUCACGCACACUAUUGUGUUACGAUGUGGGAGACGCGGCAGUGAGUUUUACAGUUGGGUGGAGAGUUCAUUGUCCCACUUAUACCUUCAGAUAUAAAUUCAUCAGAUCUUUUUUUUUUUAAAAGGUGACCUGCCUCCAGUAUAAGAGCUAUUAACAGAGGUUGUUGUACUUGUAGCCUGAUAAAUGGUGGCAUGAAUACUAGUGGUUUAGUCGGGGCCAAACUGUAACGUUGCCUUAGACCCAGUUUACACGAUGGGAAAACGCAUGUUAUUUCAUGCGUUUUGGCCUUUCAUUUACACAAAAACUGAGGUUUUAUCACAGAAAACGAUCAUUUCUAAAAACCCCGGCCAAAGUGGAGAUUUCUGAAAACUCUGUUUUUGUGUUUGCGUGUGAACUAGGUCAAACAGAGUUUUAGGUUGUCAAACGUCACAGUAUGCGACUAAAAAUGCUUCACGUCAUGUGUUUAGGUUGGUUUGAUCGUGUUUUUCGUAGUUGUUGUUGGUUUUGAGAAUUCUGAUUGGUUUGCAUGUCUUUAUCCUUCUCGUUACACUGCCGACUACAGGUUUGGCAUAGUUAUGAUGGCGCCCGGGGCCGUAUUUAUGCGGGUUCAUAUAAACAGAAACUUUUUUGAAAACAAUCUUGUGUGGACGAUGUUAUUUUUGAAAAAGGAGGGGCAGAAAUAGUCGUUUCUGUAAAUACCCGGCUAUGUGUAAAUGUGGCCUUAGUGUGGCGAUCAGGCACUCCACAGGCCUGCUGGCUGGCUGGAGUUGGGUUGUCAGGCAGAUUCAGCUCACCUGGUCUGUACUCUAUAAGCCGGUGACAGUCAGUGCUACACUUUUUGGUUUUGGUAUGUUUAGGUUUCCGUUGUCUGCCCCCGAGCCCGGAUGUGACAAUGAUAACGUGCUAUUCUAAGCGGCGUUGGCUCACUCCACCACUGUUCGGAAGUACAACUGUACAGCCUGAUCUCCAAAACUUCUCCAAAAAUGUAUACCAAAAUCUUGAACAUACAAAUUUGUAGUGAUACAUACUAAAUAAAUACGGACUGCAACUGAUGACGUCACCCUAUUCAAAGUGAAUGGGGACCUGCACCCCGUUAACACACUUCGCAAAGUCUAACGAUGUAAAAUAAACGUGUUAUGAUUGCAUUUUUAAUGAGAAAUCAAUGUUAAAUUGUAAGAAUACAAUACUAACCCUAACCCCCUCAAAAAAUGCAACAUGGCGGAGAGACGUGUUGUUCACUCAAGGGGCGUGGUUAACCACCGCCAGUUCGUAUGUAUUGUUACGAAUUUGUAUGUUCAAGAUUUUUGUAUACAUUUUUACAAACAGGUUUUGGAGAUCACGUUGAACUGUAAGAAUUGCCUAAUGCACGUAUUAUAUUGUAUAAAUUCAUGACUUGUUACUCUGUUGCCAACUAUAAUGAUCCAUCUUUUUCUUCAAUGUUGAUACAAAGGGAAAAGGAUUCGUGGUGGUAAUUUAAGUUUACGGCUCACUGUGGAGUGAACUACCGACUAGUGGAAUGAUGACAGGAAAGACGGGAGAGAAGGACAUGUCACAGCAGGAGAAGCACAGGUGUAUAUAAUCUUUGGCGCUCCAAUAGAGCCAAGCGAUCGUUAAUGUUAUUAGUAACACCCGUACUACAUCUCCAGUGAAAACGAUUGCUGAAUGAAAAGGUCUAUUCACACAUCACAUUCCCUCCUUUAAAGCAAUUAACACAGGCAGCGUGUCAGAAAACGAAGAGCACCGGGAGGCAAACUCCACACAGAAAGUUGAUCAAAGGAGAAUCCAAAGAGACAGACAACAGAGUGGAGGCAUUGUGUGACUGACAGGUGAACACUGGGAAGCACAACAGUGAAAAGACUCCACAACAAAGACAUUGCAACAAAGAAAAAGGUUGGAUGUUGCUUACUGGUCCUAAAAAUACACCCCAGUCGUUUUUUCAAUGCCCUAAAAUGUCUUCAGUAGUUGUAUGUUAAAUGUCUUAAUUGUGAAGAUUUCUCAACAAAUCGUUUCCAUAUAUUACACAUUCGUAUGUGCGAUAGAGCCCUCCCCACCGGACGAUAAAAACAGCUUUCAUCUGGCUGUUCUCUGGUUGGCAUCCAUUCCCUGCGCAAAUCACUUUUCCAUUGAAGGCCUCUCAGGUGGUUCUGCAUAUCAAACCAUCUGGAUCUUCAUGUAAGCGUCACACUGCAUCGUGCUGAAAAACGGGCAAAAAUCAAGGUAUCCCCCCUCUGGGUGUCAUGUUUUCAGUUUAGAAAAGAUGGGUACUUUAGAAGAAAUAAUUGGCGGUUCAUUGGAUGAACCACCUGUCAGUUAAACUCUUGCCAGACUGGAGAAAAGAUGGCAUUGCUGUUCUUAUCCCUCUUUUCACUAAAUAACUCCGUUGUGGGUGUAAGCGAUGCUAUUGCAGCUUUUGUGUAGCCCCUAUUGGUGUCAUAGCUAGUUAGACAACAGUUGUCUCUCCUACUCACAAUAAGGAAAAGGGUAAAGUCUAAAUAGCUUUCGGUAGAUGCAGAAUCUCACACUGGCCCAUUUUGUUUUCUACAACCCGCCAUUGUGUGUGUGUGUGUGGUAUCGGCUCUAUGUGUGUGGGGUCUGGGUAAAUAAGGAUUGACGGGCCCCUAAUGCCCUUUGCAGCAAAUAAAUGGAUAAUUGAGAAUCCUGUUGUGACGCCCCCCUCCCUUCCCCCCCCCAACCUCCCCAUCAUGUGUAUGAGACGAGACGCCAUCUGAGCACUCGGAUGACGCAGCCAGAGAUUGAUUGUGCGCGUGUGUGUGAGAGUAUGACAGAAAGAUAAAUUUCAUCUCUGGCUCUCCUUGUAUCAGUCACACUAUUUACAUAUUCAUUUCUCAUGUCAUAAUAAAGUGACAGUGGUGUUGUUCUGUUGCUGCCUCCAAGGUGUCAGUCCUGGAUUUGUGCUUUUUGCUCCUUCGGUGGACCACUGAAGAAAAGGCAGGGACACACGCCGUGACAUUUGAAAUCAAACUUUCCACAUUUUGUCAUCACUGAUCUCUUACCCACUCAAAGAGAUUGAUAUGUUGUGUGGGUACACACUCCGACAGCUGCCACUAAUACUGUUUUUAUCACUGCUAAUUUAACUGAUUAUUUUUAAACAAUAACUUUUUACGCUAGUCAGAAGAAAUUCAAGGAUUUGAUUGGUGUGUGUGAGCAUCGCUACAUUGGAAAAGGUGCUUUAUGUGUAAUCCAGAUUCUGAACACAGAUUUUUGGAUGCAAUUCAGAAGAAUACACAAGGAAUAAAGAAUAUAAAUGCAAUAAUGACUAUUGUAACACCUGAUUCAUUUUAAGCCUACCUGCCGCAGUCACCUUUUUAAGUUUUAUACAGUUGUCAGGAAACGGAUAGAAAAAGAAAUUCCUCCAUGGCGACACAGCCAAUACUGACAGUGAGAUUAAACCAUUUGCAGUUGUUAGAUGAAAAACAGACGUUUCGAAAUCAGGGAAAAGGAUGUUUACCUUCUCUACCCGGUGCUCAUGAACGAUAUAAAAGUGCAAUGAAAUAAAAGCCAGGCGCAGGAGAUAGACAACUGGGCCAGUCACGUCUGUCCGCGAUGCACUUAUCAGGUGGGGAUUUUCUGGAAGUGUCAGUCGGUAUAGAAGCCUUCAAGGCUCUCGGGGGGAAAGGGGAUGCUGCGGUGGUGACAGGGCUAUCUGCCUCUGACAGCCCGAAGACCUAAAACCGGAUGGCUGGGAGAGAUAAGGCUCUGUCGGCCUUGGACACACGCAAACAAACAGGACCCAAACACACACACACACAUACACACACACACACAUACAGAUGAACACACAAACACACAGCCAAACACUGGCAUUCACUUUGCAUUAGCAAUUUCCCUAUUGCCUGACCACUCGCUCAUUCAUUCACUCAUGUGCAUUGACUCACACACACGCACACACCCAUAAGCACACACAUGCUGGCUCCCUGUCUGCCAGCUAGCGAGGCUUUCCAUUAGCUUUGGUGCAGUGUGCCGGGUGAGGAGCGCUGGGGCGAGAGACAUCAAUUUGCUUCCUCUAAUGCGCUCGCUGCCCCCACAAGACAUAUUGAUUAUUUCUUCCCCGCAAAGCGACAAAUAGCAAUUUCGGGGGCAUAAUGGAGAUAGAUGGUUGGUUUACAAGAAGCCCCCGAAGAAAAGUUGUAAGGGGAUGGAGGGCUGAAGGGGAAGGCAGGGGAAUGGGGAUGCUCCCUCUACCCCCCCCCCCCCCUCCCGCCCCCCAGGUCUCUUUCUCUUGAGAUUUCGACUUUACCCACCUCCACCCUUUUGAAUGUCACCAAACUGCAGUUCAUAACCAAAACGGAAUAAAAACGAGUACAAAUGAAGCAGCAGGGUGUGGAUGACAAAAAAAAAAGAAAAAGAAAUGUCGCGAGAGAUGAGAGUUUCUAACGUGGGGGUGAAGGUACGGCACGGCUUUCAGGCACACCACCAAUGCGCAUUGAUGAUGUGCCUCCUCCCAGCCUCACCUCCUCCCGUCUCAAUGGUUGUGCUGCAGAGAGCAGCUGCUGCCGCAGUGUUUGCUCUGCCUCGCCCUCCGUUACCUCUUCCUCGUAUCUCCCUUGUUAGCAUCAGUGCGACUGAUCCGCAGGUUGCUCCCGUGGCGAGAUCAUGAAUAUUUGAUUCUCAGUGUGUUGCAGGGGGAGUUUUUUGGUAGUUUUUAGGUUUGGGCUUGAAUAUCUCGAUUGUUUUCGACGCCUAAAGUAAAAGAUGUUGUCUUUAAUGGUCCACAGCCCUUUCUGACUGCAUUAUUUAAAGUAGAAUAAUUCUUGAAAUGAAAAGUCACACACUGCUGUCAUGUUGACGGCUGCUUUUAAAUCUUAAAACAGCUGAGACCUAUGGAUUUAAGAAAAGCAGACAUCAGUGUCAUCAUGUAGAGCUCACAAGAGAAUCUGAAUAAAUUGUAAAAUAUAUGUUGUUGACAUUCAAGUUGAGCUUUCAGUCCUUGCAUCCAUAUGUGCCUACAUUCAUUUCCAGAAGUGUUCAUGUCCCUUUAUCCAACCUGCUGUUCUCUAAAGUGUUCACACUGUUAUAUCACUGAGUUGUGGUAGCUGAUAGCUGCCAGCAGUAGAAGUCGGCGGUCGGAGGUAAUACAUGUGUGCGGCUCAUCACGUGAUCGACUAAUGGGAAAUGGGACAACUUUUCCUUUCCAAAGAUGAUGUCUGCUUGUGAUAACUCUUGUAAAAUAAAUUGACUUUUUCCGAUUGUUAGGAACUGUUCUGACGUGGCACAGACAGACUUGCGCAAGGCUUUCUAAUAAAUGGGCUUCAGCACAGAGAUGCCCUGAGUCUGAUAUGAGCCUCGGUUAUGGGAACAGAUGGUCUAAGUUAAGGCGCACACACUGGGGUAAGUAAGUAGAUGUGUGGAUGAUGUCACAGGGUGAAAAACUUAUUUCGAAUAAGCAUUGGCACAGUAUGUUGAUUAUAAAAGUUAUAAAACAACUACAAUCUGCCAAUCAAUCCUGACCACAUGUUCCACAGGGACGUCCAAUCACAAGAAAACAAGCAACACCAGCGACUCUGUCCGACUGUACGGGGUGAACAGCAGAAACUUGACCAUAUUGCAACACGGUGAUGUUUGGUUGAGGUCAGUUACAUUAUUCAGACCAUAAUUAUGAGCAGCGGCGGGAGAAAAACUUUCCACGUCAGCAUGUGAAAGUAGCGAAACGUUGUUAAAGCUACAUUUCCAUGACAACAAGUGAGCACGAUGAUACGCAGACAGCGAAUUCCUAUGAGAGGGUUUGCAUCUGAACCUGCAGCACACUCAUUGUUUAGUUGUGCGUCUUCCAACUAUUGGUUGUUUUCUGCCAUAGCAGGCAGCCGUUUUCAGCACUUCACACUACAUGCUCAGCACCCAACACCAGGCGGACAACAUUAGCAGCCAGGUGAUGAACGUAGUGGAGCAUGCAGCUGCAUCCUCAGGACUCGGCGGGGACCAAAAUGACUGCGACACUUGAAUUCAAAAGAGCCAUUGCUAAUUUUAUGAAUGAGACUGUUCUUCACCAACUAUGACGAGUUACAUUGUCUCCUGAAAAACUGACAAAAGAAAACAAACGAUGCUUUCAGAAUGACGCUCUGAAUAGUUUUAACAUUGAGCGGAAAAGAAACACGCCUGAACAACACGUAUGGGUAAUCGUUGAUUCAUCAUCUGAUUGUAGACGCACGGAUAUUGAGCCAAAGAACUGAAGAUUGACAUUAACCUUGAUGUUUUCAGAUAUCUGCUAACUUGUCAAAUAUUUGUCUCUCAUUAUUUUCUAUUUGACACACGGUAAAAAAAAUGUGUUGACGCAUUGCUAUUGCAGGGACUUUGAAUACGGUCACCAGAAUGUUGUGCUCUCUAAAUGUGGGAAAUUUGCUCAGCCUCACUUUAUCACAGUUCCUCCUUAAAUAUUGAAUGUGCAUUCUUUUAUCCCACCUUUAAACAACUGGCGUUUAAAGCUCAAUCAUUAAUUAUUCAGGGUUUUUGAGAACUUGGUUUGAGUGGAGAUGUUGCUUUCCUGUUCUGGAUGAUGUAGACGAGAGUGAAGAGCAUGUGUGAGAGCUCUUGCACAAUUUUUAAUAGUUCAUAUUCCUCAUAGAUUAGAUAACAACUUGUGUGAUUUAAAGGCCUAAAAUUUAAGUUACAUGACCUUUUUAAGUAAAGGCAUUGCAUCCAAAUGAAAAAGGCAAUUUUAGUGCAAUAGUAGUAUUUAUAUUAUAUAUUUAUGGACCUCAUGAAUUUGAAUGAAUCCAGCAUGACAGGCCAUUUAGUUUAUUUUAGCGAUAACAGAUCACAGCUUUAAUUGCAUGCAACAAGCCUGCUGUGGGCCAUUAACCACAAUAGAUUAUUUGUUAGUUUGAAGGAUUGUAAAAACUUUGACCAUUCCAGCUGCUUUUAUACCCCCCACUGGCAGCCAGUAUCAAUUUAGAGUCUUAAAUGAAGGUAAUGUAGCCAUUGCAAAGUGUAAGAGCAGCAACUUCUUGGUCCGCAUGUAAACCGACAACCUUAACAAAUGGAAUUUUUAAACACCCGGCCAAUCCUCAGCAGACUAAUAACGCCUCCUUCCCCAGAGAUGCAGCAGACCUAAAUUAAAGGAAGCAGCCCCGACAGACAGAAGUGACAUUGAACCUCAUGCAAAACGAGCUUAUUAUCUCUGUUACUGCCAAUGCAGCGCGGCCAAGCUGUCAGUGAUCACAACAGACAUGUUCUAUGCGACAGCGCUAUUAAAGGAAGGCGCACCUGAUAAAAGGAAUGAUCCACAGAUGUGAUGAAAACAGACAGCUGAGAUGGAGUGGAUCGAGCGCACCGGUGGAGGCGGAGGUUGAGGGCUGAGGAGGUGUUGCAUGGUUGGUAUUGAGAAAAUGGGUAAGGGUUGGAAGUGAAGUGAUGCUGUGGAGUUGGGAAGAAGGGGGCAGGAAGGACAGGAGACGAAACAAUGGGGACUCAGUGUGGAAACAGCAAGAGAAAUGGACGAGUUGUGGUAUUAAGAGGGAAAGGGUGAAGGGAUUGUGGGACGGAGGAGGGAGAGGUGUUACAGGAGUCAGGGCGCUGGCUAUUAUCCUGCAUCGAUUUACUCCAGUCAGGGAUGGCUGGACAGGUAAUGAAGUGUGGGAUCUAGGGGUUUGCAGCACGCGCUUGUCUGGGCCUUAUAGCUUCGUGGAUGUAUUGUGGGGUGAUGUGUCGUGUGUGUGUGUGUGUGUGUUACAUGCAAAUGGUAAGGUCUAAUCUGCUGUGGUUAAACAAAAAACGAGGUCUUUGUCAGAUGCUUUGUUUGAAUGCGUAAUUGAUUGACCACGCGAAACAUCCAGACACAACCUACCUGGAUGGAUUACAGUAUUUACAAACCCUAUGACCUUGGAAUUAAACGUAUUCAUAAUAGUUUUGCAACCUGUUCUUUUAUCUUUUCCUCAAAGAACAUUUCUGAAUUGAAUUUAAAUGACACAUAUUAAUAAGAAAAGCCCCAAAGUCCUGUUUUAUAUUCAAAUCAAACACUUUAAUACCACUCACUAAUUUAAAUUUGGAGUAUCAGGUUGCAUGGGCCAGGAAAAAAGCUGUCAUUCAGUAGUCAGGUACAGCAUUAAGGGGGAUUAAUUUGUAUUCAUUAUCUUCCCACAGCUGAGACGUAUCAGAUUGUAGGCGGUUUUAAUUUAAAGUUGAAUAACCUCAAAGGUAUUAUUCGACAUCAAGGUAGUAGUGUUACAGCUAAAAAAUCCAAUGAAGUGAUUAUGUGAACAAUUGAUUUUCUGUUUUUAACCAGCGAAAGAAUAAGAAUCAUGCAGAAAUUUGAGAUGGGACAGGAAGCAGAUUGCAAAGAGCAGGAAAAAAAAUUAUACCUGACAAAAGGCAAAAAGUGGCUAAAUGAAAAGGCCACUUUUUCGUGCUUGUCAUUCUCUUGAGCCUCCUUUUUAUAAGUCAGUCCAUUUUCCGUUGUUUGCACAAUAUACGCUUUCCUCUUGAGGGGAACAAAUCAGAGCAAGAAGCGUGCAAUGCACACAAAAUGAAUAUAAAAAAUCCUCUUGGGGUUUUGUUUUUAACAUAAAAAGUUUCUUAGAAAAAAAGGAAUGUUUUGUAAAUGCAAAACAGGAGUUUCAUCAGGUGCAAGUAGCAGAGGGGGAAAUCAAUGCUGUAGCUGUGAAACAAGAAAUGAGUUGUCCCUUUCCUUUCUUUCACUUUGUACAUCCCUCACGUUCGCUCUCCCUCUGCAUCGCCUCUUCCUUGAUUUUCCCUCCCCCGGAGCCCCGCACUUCCUCUCCCAGUCUAAUCCGCUGCUCGACAUGCUCCCUUCUUUGUUCUGCGACCCUGACAAGUUGUCUCGUUCCCUCGCUCCCAGGACAACCCCCGGUGUGCUGGGGAUAAUGGAAUGAAUGCCGGAAUGAUAAACCCCCCGAGGAUGCCGAGAGAGGAAACACAGGAGUGUGUCAACCGGGGAUGAUAACACUCUGUUCUCCCGUGCAUCUGUCCAAGGAGCAGGGAUUACAGUUUUACAGGCAGGCUUUGCCGAUUCGCAGACCCUUUUUGCGGGCUGAGAUGUUAACACCAAAAGGCCUUGUUGGUGUCAGGGGGCAGCAGGGGAACAUUGUCUCUUCUGUGUCGCACCAAGGUCUUCAUUAGUUUUGGGCAUUGCUUCGCGUUGUGCAAUCCUAUCCUGGUGGACAGGUCAUUUUAAAUCACCCUACAGAAGCUCGCUGCACUCCCAGGACAGAAGAAAUCCUGAGGAAAUGCCACUCUGUUCGAGGCGGGAGUCUAAUUUGUUUUGUCUUGUAACUCAAAGGUGUUGCUCAAGAUUACAUUACAGCCAGACACUCGGAUUGGCAAAUGUCAACCAAACGUAUGAAAAACACAAGCAACCAUUAUAUUAUUAUUAGAAAAGUAAGCCUUAUUCAGCUUAUUACUGCCCAAAAGCUCCUUUGUUGUCCAAAAACAAAUCAUUGAAACACUACAUUUUCACAUGCUGACAUUUUCCUGAGCACUUUAGUUUAUUUUUUUGUUUAGGGUUGUCGAACACACUUUUGCUGUAAAUACACACUAUAUCUCCAAAUAUUUAUCACUCUUCAGCAAACAUCAUCACAUCCAACAUAUUCACCAAUUGCUAAAAACAUUUGCUAAGAACUACAGUGCUGCAUUGAGAUUCAAUACCUCCCAAUUCUAUAGGAUCCUAGAUAUGUAAAAACAAGCUGAAUUGUAUUUGAAGUUAUGGUUUAUGAGUUUUGAACAAGAGUAUAUACAUAUCUGAUGCUGUGAACCUUAAAUUGAAGACUUUUUUACACGAUAUUUCAAAUAGCGUCUUACAUCCAAACAGAAACUUUAAAGAACCAAAUUGCGCUAAAGGUGACUGGCCUUCUCAUAUGUUUUGUCUUUUUUUUAAUCAAAACUGGCUUGUGCUGACUGUCCAGUUACUACUUUCAUAUUCACGAGUUGUGGUUUCACACUUUCUGUUUUCACACCUGGGAUCUGUGCCUCCAUUGGGAUUUCCCACCGUAAUUGUUGGUGAAGAGUUGAGCUGUCUGAAUAAUCAUUCUCUUGUCUGCUGAUUCUGAUUGGAAUGAAGUCUAGUUUGCAUGUUAUAUUUCCACCACUGAAGAGAAAAUAUUGAAUCUUAAUCUCUGUAGCUCUGGUCGUCCUGGUCAUUUUCUGACAUGAAAUCUGACUUUUAGGACGUUGAGACAGUGAGGCGAGGAAUCAAUAAAAACUGAUUCGCAAGCCUUUGUUGUCGCUGGAAAAUAAUAAUCAAAGCCCCAAGUUCUUGGUAAAGUUUGAGAUGAAAUGCCAUCUCUUACAAACGGGCUGUCUAGUGGUAUUACGCUGCAGUCCAACUAAUCUUGACCCCAAUCUCCCAGAUAUCCAGGCAAGGAAGUUGGACACGUUCCCCUUCCUCGAUUCAACCUGUCUCAUAUACCCUUUGGACUUCUCAACCCAUUUAACAAUCAAACCAUUCUUUAAACUGACCUUGAGCACAAAAAAAGGAAAAAAGAAUGUGGAGAUGAGAGGCUCAUAAAGAAAACCUCCCAUCCUAAAAAUAGAAAAGGUGGCAAUUAAGUGCCAAUCUAAUCAUCCCCCGGUUAAACGAGCCCUGAAGAUUUUGCCCUCACAUCCCCAAGGCUUUUUUUUUCCACACCACUUCCUCAUCAUCGCCGGCUAUCGGCUUAAUUACGCCCCCGCCGUCCCCAGAUAAGAGAGUGAUAGCCUUAUCACCACGGCUCAUUUCCAAAUCCAUGAAAUUAAUAAAGUCUACUUCCCGUCUCAGUGCUGCGGCCAGACUUCUACCAGCAGUCACGUACGAGAAGUCUGAAGUAAUACUUUGCCUGUUCUUACAGUUGGCAAGAAAAAAUCUAGAGGGAAUCAUCCUCCAGGAGAGUAAAGACAAAGAGGGGAAGGGGUUUUUUGUAUUUUAGGCCGGUGAUAUUUGGGCUGUAGUUUUUCUCUCUGAUGAGGCUUUUGUCUGUGAGUUAGCUUAAACAUUCUUCUGGCUUCAUUUAUCAUUCGCACAGUAGCUGGAUUGUCCAUUUGCGUCAGUUGACUACCUAAUUGUCCCUAAUCUCCCCCUCGGGAGAACUGCUAAAUUGCAGUUUUGUGUGUGAAAUAUCAAUUAGUAGCAAUAUGUUGGAAUAAAAGCGUUACCUGCAGACAGCCCAUAAAACUCACAGCUUGCUGUAAGAGAGUUUCUCUAUCCUCCAUCAUCAAUAAACCCCUAAUCAAAUAAAGUGGCGCUUGCGCUGCAUUCCAGUCGGAUCCACCUGGAGUCUAUGAGCUUUCCAACUCUCGUCCCGUUGCCUGCUGUAAUCAGCGGGGAGACAGCUGGUCUCACCACGCCGUUCCACCUGCCCGCUCCCCAGAGUAAAGGGCUGUGCUUCAGCGACCAAACCCACUCCAAGUCUCUCUCCCAGGCCCACUCCAGCGAGACUGGCGGGGGUCUCACACAUCGAUUUCUGGGAAAAAGGGAAGGUUGGACGGACCCGUCACCACGCUGGCGCUGGCAGUGGAAUGAGACGGGCUCCCACAAGGUUUGCGCCUGUCAUUUAUUUCUAAACGACGGCAGAUGGUGAGCUUGGCGCUUGCACCAUCCUCUCAAUCUCCCAAGGUGCACUUCUGUGAUGGAUGUGGCGAAUGGGAGCGCAGCAGAGGAGGCUGAGGCACAUCUGCGCCGGGCCGAUAACGGGGGGAGGGGGGCAAAGUAUGUCUGGGCUUUUCUAGCUGUCGACUCGCCUUCACAUAUUACUCAUUCCCUCACACACCUCUUGAGGACUCCCGUCUUACAGGGUUUAUUUGCCUCUAACUUUCAUCGCUUUUCUUUUCGCAGACGUUAUCAGUAAGGAACCUCUCGGUUUACCGUGCAGCUGCCCUUUUAGGUUCGACACUGCUAGCUGGCUGGAAAUCUACGCAAACCGUUCUUCCAGCAUGAGAUAAACUGGAUAAAGGCUGUCACCACCGUUAAUUAUCCCAGAGUUAUAUUAAUUGCAGCCUUCAUGUCUUCAGGCUGUACUGAAAGUUAUCCAGGAAUGGCUAUGACUUUUAAAAAAGGGACAUUGAGGCAUGUAACUUUCCUUAAUUGGAUUUCAUUUAUUUCGUUAUCCUCAUUAGGGUUCCGUCUUAUCGGAGGUCUGUCGGGUCUUUCACAGCAUUAUAUUACAGUAUACUGUUGUGAUUGAGCUUCAUGUAAUUAUAAAGAUGUCCAAUCUUCAUGAACAACAAUGGCUUCUAGGGGAAGUAGAGAGUAACUAAUUACAAGCAGCAAGUUAGCAGCUGCUUUAGUGAAGAAAGAAUGCACAUCCGUGACUGCUAAACAAUUCAAUGUCUAAAGAGAUACAUUUGGUGUUUCAUGAUUAAGUUUUGAGUCAGUAGCUCUGACAUUAUUAAGUUGUCUAUGAAAAACACAGAAAUACUUAAAACCCCAGUUGUAGUUUUCUGUUUUUGCUCGAUCUCUGGCUUGUCUGUCAUUACACAAAUUACUUAAUUUACAGACAAAGUCUUAAACACUGCUUUGAAAUUUAAAUUACAAUUAGAUCUUAUUCUUUGUGUUUGUUAUAAGAGUCAUGGUGAAGACCGCUGUUUGGCCUAUUAUGUUAGCCUUGGUUAGUUACAUUUUAUUUUCAAAUCCAAAAAUGAUUAUUUUAUUGAUUACUUAACGGGGGGAAAAAAAAAUCACAAUCUCAGAGCCCAAAAAGUCAAAGAAAAGCUAUGAAAUCCACACAUUGAAGAAGCCAUCACCAGGAUGUACAAACACACCCUCACAUCCCACACGCCACCUAACACAUCCCAACACACAUUAAAGUGAUAAAUCCCUGCCAAACAACACCCUUGCAAAGGUCACUUCAGCUUUAUCAUCCUAAUCAUCGAACACAAUCACCUUCCUGGAUUUAAGUUCGCAUUAAAAGCAUCACGGCCCUCCCAACCGCAUCCCUGCCCACAGACGUAACCAUGGCAACAGAGACGUUGGGCUGCCCUCCGACGAUGCAUCUCCGGGAUUCUCUGUGCGCCGCUGCCGGCUGACAAGUCAGGCGUAAAGAGUCGAUUUAGCUGCGGCAUUGGGGAGGCUUGCACAUUAGAGGAGAGGAAAUAGGAGCCAGCAAAUACUUAGUGGGUGAUUGGCGCCGCAAUAACAGAACACCCCCUUUGGCAGCUCGUCAAGCGGUGCUAUACGGAUGCCAUUACAAACAGGCGGCCAUUAGCCGGCACGGAGGCUUUGUGAGGCUUGUCGCUGCCUCACGUUUUUAACCCCCGGGGUGUUCUUUAAGAUGUGUACAAUCAGCUGUACACGGCUGACCCUUUGUUUUUGUCUUCUUUAACUUUUUUUUAUUUAUCGAGAUGGAUGGACGGCAAGCAUUUAGGAAACAUGGGCUUUCAAGCUCUGAAAGAAUAUUUCACAUUGCAGAGUAAAACAUCAAGAUCCCUGCAAAGUGCGAGUUACAUCAAUCCCAAAAAUAAGCUUUUUUUGGUCAAAACAUGGCACACUGUGUGUGCACAACGCCCCAGAGACCCAGAAGUAAUAGUACUGAAUACUAUCUUUUUAUAAAGAUACAAACACCAACAAGCUUUUUUUCCCUUUUUUGCUGAAGCACUAGACCAGCUGCAUUGUAGUGACUUCCUCACUCUAUGAAAAUGUGCCUCAUGCUGGGUCGGGAGUAUGCACAGCACAUAAGUAGCUGGAUCUGCACCGAAACGCUAUUAAUAUGCAGUAAAAAGCAAACCUAACCUGUGGCGGCAUUCAUAUUUUGUCACCAUAGGGUAGGUUACAUUGAUGUGUCCUACAUAUUUAUUUUUACUGUGGGGUGAAAAGUCUGUCAAACGCCUGACGAGAUGGAUUUUCUUUGACGUACGAAAUAGUCUCACACGUUCUCGUGGCAUUGCGAGAUCCCAGCUUGCCGUGCAGAUGAGGUAUCUUUUAAAGACAAUUUUGCAUUGGAAAUUCAACAUGUCUCUUUUCUGCGCCUAAUGCUGAAAUCCACUGCCAUUUUGAAGAUCUGCCUAGCAAAACAAAGGCUAUGGCUACAACACGUUAAAGGCCAACACAUGCUCACAAUGCAUGCAUCCAUGGUGGAGUAUGACAACAUGGAAGAAAGCCUCUGCCAAACAGCAUAUGUUGUGUAAAAUGAGUGGCCUGCGCCGUACAGACCGGCCGCGUGCACUUCAAUAGUCUCCUCUACCACCCAUGAGGUGGUGCACAAACACCCAGGGAGGUUUUUUUUUUAUCUCACUUUCACAGUCUCGCAGGCACCCUCACUGACUGGCAUCUCAUUAGGGGAGCGGAGCGCCGUGCUCGCGUGUUCGCCGCCAGACAGGCCACGCCACAGGCUGCAUGCUAAUUGCAGAGGCGUAGCCAGCAUGAGAUGACCUUGUAGGGUAAAAGAGGAAGGAAGGCAGAGAAGUGGUUUGGUUAUAGCGUCUGGUGGGAAGGGGGGCUCUCCCCCACCAAAACCGCUUUUGUCCUGACCUUGGGCAGCAAAGUCAGCCAAGUCUGACCACGCAGUGGCGUGCGCUCGUGAAGGGGAAAGUCUCAUUAAGAAAUAAAAAGCAAAGCAGUAUGUAAUGUAGGUGGCAAGCAUUUUACUUGUGAUGAGAAAAUAAUCUCACUGGUUGACGUUAUUCUGACAUUAAUUUGCUUCUUAUCAUAACUUUACAGCAAUUUGAAAGCCUUUGGGUUUUUUUUCGCCUGACAACUUGUUAGAUAAAAGGCUUCAAGUGAAAGUCACAUUCAAAAACCCAUUGCAGCAGUAAUUUUGACUUGACAGUAAUAUGUAUAUUUUCACCUUUUGUGACAUUAAUUUACAACAUCAGUUGUAUUAUAGUUUUGACGCUUGGCUCAUCUUCACAGAAGGGCGUGUAAUUGGCAUUAAACAGAUCAAGCUUCUGUGCGAACUCUGAAUAUCUAUGUUGAUGACACCAACGUUUUUAUAUUUUCCUUUGCCAAGUAGAUGUGGACUUCAAACGACUUGUGUGUUUCAAACAAUGACCCCCGACAGGCUCUGUAACUUCGUCGUAACCUCUCCAGCCUCCAACUCCACUCACAUCUGAAGCGACUGAACUGUAAAGUCCUCUGAUUGAAUUCCAUUCAAUGACAAAACUUGCAAACACUGAGAUGGGGAAAGGACAGACAGAAAAGAGACGGGAACUGUCCAAAAAAAAGGUCAAGUAUGGCAAACUACAGUUUCCUCUGUCAUCGAGAUAGAAGCGAUGGUUGAAACUUCCUAAUACCCGAAUCCUGGCCAACUUCGAUGUACUUCCUACAAAGAAAGAUUACAAAGAAUGUGUUGCGAGAGAGAGAGAGAGGGAGAGAGAGGGAGAGUUAGAAGCACAGUUUGAGAGAGAGAGAGAGAGAGAGACUAUAGCUUUCUGUUUGUUUUAGUGCCAUUAGUUCCUCCCUGCCACUCAAUGAUAAAGAGGAUCUGCCAUCAGCCAAACCAGCCAUCUCUUUCAGUCCUCAUUAAAAUGUCGUCAUAUUAAAAAAUAAUUUCAGGCCUCUGCUGAUGAGCGUUUUAUUGCCUUCAUGAAAAUGUUCUCACUUUGGAGUCAACGGGAGAGAAAACCUUCAACGAGUAAUGAGAGCAAGAGACAAAGCGACGACAGGCUAGAUAAGGCUGAUUUGUUUCAUACUAGGGAGGGUCGUUUCAAUUUCUAGUUCAUUAAUAAUUUCUUUAUUUUGCAGUCCAACAAACAAACAGCAAAGAAUGCACGCUGGCAAGAAUAAAGUGGUCAAGAUGUUAAACUGGCUACUAAAAGAAAACAAUAGAAUAGACAAACAAACUGCUGAAACAGAUUAACGCAAGAUAAAAAGCAACAAAAAAGAGAGGCAAAAUAAAAAGGACGGGGGAAUUGUUACCCUAUGAAUUCAUUUUUUAAUUAGUUCUGGUAGGUUUGAUGUUUACUGUUGGGGCUUUUGUAAACAGUUUUUUAACAAUAACUAGUUAGUCACGUCAACACAAUAUCCAGUUAUUCAAUCAGCAACAUUGAAUCCAAAUAGCUUCCAGUGCUUUGCUGCCAAUGUUCUCACUAAAAGGCAUCCUACGAAGUAGUGAACCCAUUAACAACACAUUUCACCUUUGCAGGUCAGUUGUUGCUCUCUGAUACAGGUAAUCUGAGUUAAUCUUCUACUCGCUUACAAAAUGCUUCCACAAGCACUUUUCAUCGUAGACACAUGAAAUGGAAAAAGCAAUUUUCUAAUACCCUGCAGUGGAAAAAACUGCAGCAGCAGGAACUUAGAGGCCGUAAGCGGGAGUGUAAAGGUUACUGAAGAAGUACUUUGACACAUUCAUACUUAAACAAUAGCCUAAUGAAAAAAUCCUGGUGUUCUAAUGACACCCAAAAGGUUAUAUUCGUUGUGCAUAUAUAGCUUAAUACAGAGUGGUUUUGCUGUUCUAGAAGCAGGUUGCUAAUGAAAGUCCUUGAAAGAUCAAAGGCACAAUAAAGGAUGAGGUUUAAAUGGAGACAAUCCUACAGCUAUUCAUCCCCUGUGGACGUAUUAUGAGAGGUAGCACUUCAGCUCUUAUUGUUUGGACUUAUUAUUAUUCUGAUUUGCAGCUUUUCAACAUUUCCAUUUUGCUGAUUUGUUGCUCCAAUAAUGAACAGCUACACACAACAGCGGCUUGUAUGCAUAUCCUGUAAAGGCUGGAGAGAAAAAUAGUGGCUCGGCUUACAGAUGCUCCUGCACAGCACUCCAUGAUGCAGAUUUAAUAUAACCAUAUGCUGAUGUUUUCAGGCACCAAUGCUGAUUAAAUGAGCUGCUUGUAUCAGAUGAAGAAGAAAAAGUUUUGCACCAUUUGUUACGUUGCGUCAUCCUAUCUCUCUCCUUGAUAAUCGCAUUUCUAUUCAAAGUGGAGCACAAACAAUAACAUUAGACGGGUGUUAGACACUCGCCCUCUUUGCCUGAGCUGUGUGUUUUGCUUAUGAGAUAUUUUAAUCGCCAAUAGGAACCCGAGCGCACCAGAGUCAAUCUAUUAAUGGGGGGAAUCAUGAAUUAUGAGAGGAAAUUAAACUACUUUCACACAUACUCAGACACAUGGACAAACUGAGCACACAAACAGGGUUUGUGUGAGUACAUUAAUGUCCCAGCAGAAUACACACAUAACUACUUGAUUGGCCCCAAGGGAUGUAAUAUCUACGCUUUAAUUCCAGAUAGCAAGUAAGCAUAUCCUGUUACAAGCCAUUACAAGAGUUUAAUGCCAGGCGCAGUGUUUGUUAUGCUCUCAUUUUACAUCUUCACUUCUUAGGCUUUAGCUCUGUUUGAGAUGCAAUAAAAAGAUUUCCGCUACUUUUGUUACAGCUAUGGAGUUUUCUUGUCUUGCUAAAUUUACUCUCGUAAUCAAAAAUAUUCAGUUGAAAAUAACUUCUUCUAUCUUUUUGUUAAGGCUGAAUAGGAGGGAGGAGUAAAAAGUAUGGACAAGAUAGACCUGGUGCAUGUAAAUCAUUUAUUUUCCCUUCUGGGUCUGGUGUGUUGUACACUUUAUUUUGUGUGUUGUAUUUUGGGAUUUGCACAACAGUGUAGCUGCUGGAAGGAAACAUUAAUUUAUUGCCCUGGCUCUGUGCUCAUGUCCAUUCAUUCGCCAGUUGCUUGUGGCUCCGUUUUUGGGGGUUUUAAUACAGACAGAAGAUGCCAAAGCAAUGUUAGGUAAUUAUUCAUACUACUACCUACUGAGAACUGAGCAGAAACAGAAAAUGAGCAGAAAUGUGCCAGGAAACAAUGCUACAAGCACUCAGACCCUAAAAUUACAAAAUGAAAUUAACUACUAACUAAGAGGAAGAGUGGUGGUGUCAUAGAGUGACAGAGUUUGUGUUUUAAUCAAAUGGCAGCCAUCAUUUGUCUUUUUUAAGAAUGACUAGGAUUCCACAAUCCUUUACCUUUAAGAGGUGUUUUUUUUAUUGUAAUCCUGAAGAAAUAAACUACCAUAUUCUCAACGAAUGACUAUUUGUUUUAGUUAAAUAUUACUCAAGCUACUGGAAGAACAUUGAAAAUGAAAAAACAGCCUACAGUUUGCUAAAAGCAGGUCUUUGGGUGUAGUACCAGCUGAUAAAUAGUGCGCUCUGGGGGACCGGUGUUCAUUUGUGAUAUCCUCAUUUCAUAUUCUCGCCAGUUGGGCACGCCUCAGUUUUGAGGUGUAAUGUAGGCCUGCCAAAUCAGCGGUAGCCCCAUUACUCAUCCCCCUCUGUGCUGUCUCCUGGCUUGUGCUCCACCGCUAAUGCAGAUUACAGGGAUAUAUGAGGGCUAUUUUGUUCGCUGCAGGGUGGAAACGAUCACAGGCAACCCGAUCCCUCUCUGAUGCACGAUUCUACAUCUGUUCCCCCCACGGAAGCCUAUCUGGAGAUCCAUCAGAGCCGAGCCCUUAUCAGAUCCGAGGCUGUACAUCUCUUGCACAUCAAUUAUAGAUGCUAUGGGUAAAAAAUGGGGUCACUACAUCAACACACGCUUUCGAUCCUCAGAGACAUUGUUUGGCUAAGUGAAAUAGUGGUUUUAGAAAUAGUUUGUGCGCGUUAAAGUGUUAAAUUGGCCAUCCCAUGAUACUUUCGUAUGAAGACACAAGGGCCUCCGGUGAAGGAGAAUAAUGGAUGACACGGCUUUGCUAUAAUGAUAACUGUCAUUUAUAAUUUCUCUUCAUUGGAACUUUGAGGAACUUGGUGGCUUAUGUUAGUGGAAUUUGUGUAGGUAUAAAGAAUAUUCCCUGUAUUCUUUUUUUCAAAAAGGUGUGAACAAUCCAAGACACGUUAUUUUCACUCCAAAAAUCAGCCGAAACUUAAGGGAAUUUCCAACUUGUUCUCUGACAGAGAACACCGGCAUAUUAUUAAACUAUAUAUCUAUUCUGUGACCAGGACACGUUCGAACAGCACGUUUAAUCUUUAUGCAAGUCUGUCAUCUGUUGGCUAAAUAGACCAUUCAUCAUAUUAUUGGGCUUUUACAGCCUGACUGUUUGAGUGAUCCGUCUCUCAAACAGCCUCUCUCCCCGGCAGCCCAAUCAAUCAUUUUUCAAUGAAGAUGUCACAGCUCAUUGUGUGGAGUGCUUUCCCAAACAAUUUCCAGAGCCUUUUAGAUGAUAAACUUUUCGUGUUCACGACCAUCUCUGGCUCCUCUGCAAAAUGUACUUUAGAAGCAGAAUAAUUAUUUCAACCAUAUGCUUCAUAGUUUAAAUCCUGAAUUCACCCACUGUCAACAAUUUCCACCUCAGUGGAGACUUUAGCAGGUGCAGGAUUGUGCUCACUAUUAACUUUUCAUUAGGCGAGGUAAACCGCACUUGUCAUCAAGAAGUAGCUGCUGCUCAACAAGGGACAUAAUUGGUUUGUGGUUAAUGGCUAUUUGGAGCUGCAAGACGAGGGUAUGUCCGUAAAAUCGCAGUAUAAGCCUCCAAUUUCUCAGGAAGAAGGGUAAAAUGUUAAGGGUCGACAGCUGAAUCUGAAAUGUCUUCCAGGGUUUGUUCGGUAGUGUAUGCACUUAAAAAGCAGAAGAUAACGGCCGUUCCAUUAACUCCGAAGCCAUAAGAUUGACUCAUUACAUCCAAAGAGCCACAGUGGUGCAAUACGUUUUUUUUUACACUUGUUCAGGUUCAACUUUUCUUCCUCUGUAAACUCAACUCACGUCUGUUCUGUUCUGCUUCUGUUGCAGGAUCCUUCGGGAGUUGACGCACAGACCUGCGACAUGGGGAGCCUGAACCCUUCCGGUCAUCUUCCCCCAACACAAGAGGAUGUGUUUCAGAUAACCCAGUGGGCAGAACAGCACACACCAACGUGAACCCUCGCUCAUCUCAAAGUAUCACCGGAUCAUCUGUUUUGUAUCAAAAGUCUUACAUGAAAGUAUUCUGCGCAGCUCAAGCAAUUCCUUGCAAAUAAAUGUAGUUGAAUCAAAAGUAUAAUAUGGUCUUCUGAAAUCUACUGGAAGUAAAGUACAAUGGGUGGGAGGGAUAUCCAGAUAUUAAAAAGAAGUAUAAAAAUGAAGUGAUUUGCUAUAAUGACACAUCAUUAUUUAUAGUCUGACAGUAUUCAAGUUAUUUACUUAAGUAAAAGUAGCCUAAGGAUACCGGGGAGAUUUACUUAAAGUAACAAAAGUAAAAGCACAAGUACUUAAUGUUGCACCUGGUUCAAAAGCGACCAAUGUUAUCUACUUUCUUUAUUAUGAUGUAAAUUAAUUCAUAAGAAAGCAUUGUAUUUUAUAAGACAUCAAAUCUUAACAUGCAUAAUUAUGCUGGCAAAUAGAUUCAUUUUAUAUUUUUCAAACGUAACGCUGUUUAAGGAGACGGUACUUAAUUGCAGUAAAAUGAAUGUUCUGUUAAUGUUCUUUCCACAGGUGAUGCAAUAGUUUACCCUAACUUGCCAUCAUUAUCUGUUUCCUCUUUCUUCCAAAAUGUAUUGCAUCUACGUAGAAUAUCAAUCUCCUCACUGCAUCAAACUGUUCUUUUUAGGUCAAGUGCAUUGAAAUCCAACCUGUUCGCUGACAAAUGAUUGGGAAUUAAUGUAAACUGUUGCCUCACUACUCACUCCUGGUACCAUGAGGCCUCAUUGAGCAGUUGUGCUCUUCUUUCCUCUCUUCCGUGCGUGUCAGCUUUCCACCACCACCAUCUCCACCUGCACCCUCAGUGCACCACAGUUGCAUUAUAAAACUUGUAUAAGAUCAUUAGCAUACAAAGCAGGAAACCUACUGUGUCAUACAUAUUUAUCUGGAUGUGCCUGACUUUGGCGCGCAUGCACAAUCACACUGUAACCCUUUUACAACCGGGUGAACUGUCUUUCUGCUGAAGGAGAGCUGCGAACAGACACUAUGAAGUGGAUGUUACCAGAAGCACGUACUGUUUUAAUGGAUAGAUAUUUAUUCAUGCAACAUCUUGAGAAAGACAAGCUUACAUUUGCCAUAAACUUCACAUUAAAACAUGUGCAGCUGCUUGCGAGAGCUAGAAAAUGUGUUUAUUUGGAAACAGAGCAGAUGGAGUUUGGUUAGGUUCAUCAGAGCAGUUUGCUUUGAGCAUAUCAAAUACAGUUUACACACAGAGGAAUUUCGGUCGAGUAAUGCCUGCAAUACAUAUUCAUCUGCUGCACUCAGAAGCACGUAAUCAAACAGAGAGAAAUACAGAGGACAUGGCCCCUAUAAAUACUUGUAUCCCGUGUGGUCUACCCCUGACUUUUGAAUGACUAUGAAAUCAGCUCAAUUUCUCAUUCCCUUCCUCUUCAAAUCCUCUUUUUUUCUACUAUUACCAACUAUUCUACCUUCUUGAUGAAAGCAGAAGUCCUCCGUUGAUUAUAUCCACCUGUCUCCUUCUCUUCCCCACCUCCUGUGAGAUUGCCGUCGUGUCUUAUGGCUUUUUAUUCCUACGUGAUGGUAGAUGGGUUCAUGUAGGAGUAGAAGCCACUAAACACGCGGUGAGUGCUCGACAUGCUGGCCAGCACACACAGCGAGCUUCCUGUGGCUAUGACUGCUUCCUGUGGAUACGACAGCUGCCACCUUCUCGCCCAUUAUCAAGGAUAUGCCCAUUAUCAAGAAUAUGCAAGCGAAAAAAGUAGUCCGCGCUAUAGUCGCCGCAGGGAGUGUGUACUGUUUCAGGUUAUCAUUUCAGACCAGAUUUGUAAUGUGAAAAAUGUUAAAUUAACCUAAUUGAACAAUUGGUUUUAAGACAAUAGAGCUGAAUGGUGCUUUUCGUGUGGGCUGACAAAUCAAUUUUGAGUUGUGAAUAGACCUACUUUUUCACAAAGGCUUCCCACCUGAAUGAUGGCUGCACGUGCCCUGAAUUUAAAACUCAUUCCUGCAUUCCUCUGCCCCGAGGUUGCUGUAUAAAACUGGAGCUGGACAGCUCUCCAAAAAAGAGAUCAGGAGGAGCGGAUACCACAAUUAAAACGAAACAACUUACAGAGGUAGGUCAUCUAUGUUGUUUGUUAAUACGCCGAAUGUGAAGGGACCAUCUCUCCUCCAAGAGUGACAACAUACAGAAAGUGUGAGCAGAAUGUAUCACCCAUCAAUCCCGCUGUCAAUAAAAAUGUCACCAAAUUCUAUACAUGUUCUAUUUAGAAAUAUGUUGUUGCUGUCCUGUGAAAACCCUGAAUCUCCAAGAUGACUUGUGCUAAGCUUUGUAAUGUUUAUAUUUCUUCAAGUAACACGGUUUCGCUUUGGGUUAGAAAUCUGUUGUGUCUUGGUCUGCCAUAGAAAUGCAAGUUCAAUAUUUGGUCAACUUUUAUCUCUGUUUUAGUCUCCACCCGGUCCAUAGACUAAUAUGUUGCUGCUAGAUGCUGCAACACGUCCAUCCGCUGGUUGCUGUGUAUGUCUGCAGUUCUGUAUGCAGUUAGUGUUAAAUCGGUUGGCAAUUUUCGUUAUUCUCUGGAUAGCACUACAUAUUUGUUUUGUUAUUUUUGUCAUUUCACAUGAACACCUGUUUUUUAGUCAUCCGUUUCACAUGAGCUCUUUGUAAGGACUCUGCUUAAUUAGACCAACACUGUUCUUGUAAAGCUUUCAACACCAACCUGAAAAUGGAACUCAGCUCAGGGCAAAUCUCUGUUCAAUCAUAAAUUAGGUCCAGAACAAGUCAAAAGGGCCUAUAAUGGUAUUCAUCAGCACUAACUUUCUGCCUGAAAUAAACUUGGCACCAACCAAUUAAAAAAGAUAUUGAAAUGAUCCUGCGCGUGCUUUGUCUGGUUGGUGCUGUGGGAAUUGGGUUUAAAUGUCAUCCUUCUGUUUCUAUUCGCUGUAAAACAGCCUCCUGCUUUUCUCCUCCUGAGCAGAGACUGAUUAAUUUCUAAAUGUGUAGUUGUUGUAAACCCAGAACUGAAUAAUUAAUCCCGGGAUAUUACGACAAAUUGACCAAUGCUUGCAAUCGUGUGACAUUAUAUAUUUGUCGAUAUGAGGGGCAUAAUUAUUCAAGGUGGAAUUGCAUUUGAUAUGGUCUACUAAGGCUUAAUGAUUUAUUCACAGCUGUAAAUUGUUAUGAUCUAAAAUUCAUCGGGGUGGAAUGGAAAGUUUCUUUUGCUUGCAUUUUUGGAUGAAUUUAUAUUUCAGGUUCUCACUUCAACAUAUUCUCUUAAAGAGAGGAAGUCAAAAAGAAUAGUCGAGCAGCAAAGACACGUGAGAGGAAGCUGAGAGGAUUCGAUUCAGGAACAGUAGGGGGUCCAUGGAAAUCUAAAAGUUCCCAUUCAAUCAUCAUCGUAUCUAUGAGACAGAGCCUGAAUUAUUUAAAACAGCUUAGCAUAUGAAGAGGAAGUUAUGUUUCAACACAUUGUGGCCAUCCGCUGUUUCACCCGAGAUUGUGUUCUCAUUUUGAUUGUGCUGUAACCCUCAUAUCCUCAACGUGUUUGGCGAAAACAGUUUGGGGAUUUAUAUAACUAGGUCCUCACGUUAUGGAACUUGAUUGAGCUGUACAAGGUCGCAUAAUCCUCAAGUUUAGGUAAAAACAUACAAAAUGUCAGAAAUGGAGAAAUGGGACUUUCAUCUGACAGCUGCAAUAAUGAAGCAUGUUUGUGUACAGUAUGUGUAUGAGUGCUUAGCUACUGUAUCCACCUCCCUCAGGCUGCACUUCAGUAAUAAAUAAUGCUCUUUAGUGUUCUCUGCUUCAUUUGUUUUCUGUUGUAACGUCAGUGCUGCUCAAUAAAUUAUAAAUCAAGCCUGUUCAACCUGCCGCACAUCUCUCGUUUCAUUAGCCCUUUUUGUGUGUGUUUUCUAUUGCCACUUCCAGGCACACCCGAAGUGUACACACCAAAACUCACAAGAGCUUUCACUGGAUUGGAUUCCGAACACAUGUAGCUAAGUAUAGUACAAAUGGCUAGAGAGCAGCAGGAAUGCAGCAGUAAAACAUGUCAAAUUAUUAGUAGCUUAAAGUAUAAGCUCAAUUCAAACCACCUUUCAUUGACAUAAUUGCUUAUAUUCAGUGCAUAUUUAAUCUGCUAUAAGCCAUGAAAUUGCCACACAUAACAACACAAUUACACACUAAUUCACAGAAAAAUAAAGAUGGAUUUUGGGCUUUGCCGUGUUAUCCCACAGAGCUGUCUGACAGCGGGCAAGCUGAAGGACUGUUUAGGGGAUGAGUUGCAGAGGCACAGUGGGAUUCUUUCACUUUCUUUUCUCAGGGAUUUUGGGCAGCAAAUCUCGCCUACACACACCAGCUGGCUGUUGUCUGGGGGAAUCGCCUCAGCCAUUUUUUUUCUGAUGAAAUCAGAGGAAACGCACAAGCAGCCCAAGGCAGACCACAUAUCCUUUUUUUUAUUCCUUCCCUAUUCAAUAAUUCUCACUGAUGGGCCUUUCCUUUGAGCACUGGCACUAGUCCUCAUUCCAAUUAGGGAAAGGCAAAGAGGCCCCCUUGUUUGUCGGCACGCAAGCAGUAAUUGGAUAAUCCCCGGAAUUUGAGCGAGUAUACAAAAGGGAAUCUGCAAUUAUACCAGAAAGUCCGUCAAAUAUUGACACAGAUGAGUCCUGCAAAGUACAGAUACAGAGGAUAAGUCAACUUAUUAAUGUAGAGGUUUUCUAAAAUUUUCAAAGUUGUAUGCACAUGGGCAAAUUAUUUGUGUCUCAAUCUCAUAAUCAAUCAAAAUCUCAUUAUAAAAUAGACAGAAAAUCUGAUCCAUUCUAAUAUUAAUUUGGACUUUAUUUCGAACAAUGUUUUUGUUUCAUGAACUCUUAAAGCACCUUUAGUUUUUUUUUCUCCUCAUUUAUAUUGUACUACUUUAAAAAGAAGAAUACACUAAUUUAGAAUCUGGGGUGGAUCGUGUCACAUUUGGCCCUGGGUUUAGGAAAGGAUCCAUGUCAAAAUCAGUUGGAACACCAACUUACCAAAAACGAACAAACUGAAUACUUCAGUAUUCUAAUACUGCAAAGUUUUGCAAAUGAACACAAAGCACAGAUGAAACUGAUGGGCAUAUAAUUUGUUUAGCAGUUAUUUGGUAAGAAACCCAAAUAUUGGACUAGUAUUCACAUCAUUUGGUUCAAACCAAAUUUCCACAAUCCUUCAUUUCAAUCAAGACAGCAAAUGUUAGCUUCAUAGUGGCGCUAAAGGACAAGUCGUUAUGCCAAAAAGGUAAAGUAAUUGAAACGGAUCACUAAAGUCAAGAUGAUUUAUUCUCUGGAACUAUUAAAUGAUGCUCAAUUGAAAUCUGUCCUGUAUUUCUUGACUUCUUGACUUAUUUCAGUUAGAACCAAAGUGGUGGACCAAUCGACAGGCCAACAUUGCAGCUUAUUGAGCAACUUGAGUUCUUAUUUCUGCAGCCUCUAAAUGGCAAAAGUUCAGAUGCCACAACAUAAGCCUACACAGCCUUUUGGAAACAAUCUCUGCUCAUAGUGUGACAUCCCAUUGCGAUAACAGUGUGCUGAGUUACACAAAUUUUUCUCAACAUCUCACUGAAAGCCAUCACAACAAGACGUCUCCUCUCUUAGAGUCCACUUAAUGAGAGUGUAGCGUCAGCGUUCUGGCUGCAAUUACUGUGCUUAGGACUCUUUAAUGAUAUGAUAAUGGCUUGGCUGUAUUACCUCUCAGCUGCCCAAACAACAUUAAAUACCCUGCGGCUGAUUAAUCCAGCAUCCACAAAAACACCCAAUUAGAGGGAAAAUGUUUGAAUCGAGUUCUACUAACAACUUUAGGGCAGAAUAGACAAACACAAUGCAGCUGCAAAAUAUUUCCCCUCACAGUACAGUAAAAGGAAAUAAUAGCCAAAGCUUGUGGAUGUUACUGUUUUACAAUGAAAACACACGGUUCUCUAUUAUAUAUUUUAUAUUAGGAUGGCGCUGUGACGCAGCGUGACCUAAGAUAAGUUGUUGCUGACUGCUCACGGAUAUAAGGAAAGCAAAAUGUGUGACCUUCAUUUGCAUACAUUCGGCGCACCUUUCCUGUUGUUGCUGAGCCUGCAUCAAAGUCAGAGGUGUUAAAACAUCUAAUAUGAAUUGCACAAAGUUGAGUCCAUGUCUUUUUUUUGUUCUACUUUGAACCACGAUAAAGGAUCUCAACACAAGGCUGUGAGUUAACGUCAAAUUGGAAAGAAAAAUUCAAAGGGAGUAUUCUCAGCGUAAAGACGUUCUAUACAGUUUUGAAAAAUGAACGAUCAGAAUUUGAAAUAUACAAAACAAAACAUUUCUCACACCACACCAUCAUAGUUUGUCAAAUACGAUUAAACGGAGACACACUUCUAACAACUCCCCACCCAACUGCACUCCCGCCAGCACCCGAUUGCUGUCAACGCAGAACUCACAGAGCGAUCGUGAUUAUUAAUGUUCAACAUCUGAAGUUAAGCUCAUGAGGGUGAUAUUCAUUUUUCAGGAGUUCCUUUUGUAAUGAAGACCGAGCGGUGACAAAGUCCCGCUGAGUGUACAGAGGAAACACAUCUAGUAAACAGACAUGGAAGCCAAGUACAAGCAGACAAGACAGUUGCUGAUAAGUGCAUUUUAUUUUUCUUUACUCAAGUAUGUUCUACUCCAAUUUAUACAGAUAUUUUUAAAUUAAAGGUAAAACAACAUAAAAUGUGGUAUAGUUUCUAGAAUUCUAUCAAAUUUUAUUGACGGAAUUAAACAUUGUUGGUGGUGUUUCUACAGUUGAGAUGUGGUGUCUACAAAGGCCGCGAUUCUCUCCAUCUGUUCAUGUAGAUUGUGCGACAUGAUUGAAAGCUCCAGAGCUUUGAUUGUACUCAUUUGUGUAACAUCCAAUCGUGUAAAAUAUCGGUUUAGUGUAUGUGUGUACACAUGUGACAAUGAUCUUUCAGGAAGACGAUCAUCGUAUUUAAUGGCCACCGGGAGUCCCUGGUUUGGUGAUCAUGUAAAUAAGGUGAAUCCAAGGUUGCAUUAACUGGCUGUGACACUGUGAUCAGCUUAUUUUUAGUCAUUGCAUUACUUGCACAUUUGUUGGUAAAUGUGCACCCUUAAUGUAAUAUUGGACCUGGUCCUGCCCACCUUAAUUGUAAAGCCCUAACUUUAAGGGAGGACCUGUGCCCAUACCUAGUUGUACCACCAUUGUUAAUUUGUAUAGAGUUCUAACAUUGUGUAAAACCUUAAAUAAAGUUGUUUACUGCCAACAGUCAUUUUUGUACUCAAUCUAAAUAAUCUGUGUCAAUGUUAAGUAAAGGUAGUAGUAUAGCAUAUCAGAAGUACCAGUGGAAACAGUGCGACCACUGAUGAAAGUAACAAUUUGAAUGCAAUCAUGUCUUUGACUACUAAUCCUACAACCUGUUUGGCUCUUAAUGGUGGUAAUAGUGCUACCAAUCAUCACUUUCUCACCAUGAAAGCCUUUUUCAGAGCAGGUCUAUGCUUUUAGCUCCAUCUCGUCUGUCUCUUAUCACCUCUCAUCAGCAGGAAAGACGUCGGAAGUGGGACGAGGGGGGGCUGCCCAUCCGAGGCAAAGAGGAGAGCCAAAAGAAGGCAGCAUCCUUAUCAAAGGCCUGGGUGCUGAGAAUUGGUUAAAAAUAGAAACUGAGAGAGAUUGGCAUCGAUUUCUGUAGGCGUUGACGGCCGGAUUGACAGCAGCACAGCGGCGUCGAGCUGUUAAGCCAUCGAGGGAAUCCGCCAGACUGCCUAUGAUGAGAUGAGAUGGGAAGAUAACUUCUGACAAGCCCUCCACCCGCUACCCAUCUCUAAUCACCCGCGCUGCACACACACACCUGCACGCAUGCACAAACACGCACACACACAAAAAGAAAAAAGUAAUUACCUUGUGAUUGCUCAGGCUCGCUCGCACACACACACACACACACACGCACAUAUGUGCACACACACUUGGUGCCCCCUGAGCAAGUAAUGGGACUUUGGCUGGCUGAGCAUCCACCUGUCUGUUGUCUCCUGCCAAGCCGAAGCUCAGGUGCUCCCACACAUACAAAAUACCUGUGAAUGUCCCUCCACAGCUACAAGCCGGCGUCCUUAAGGAUCUACCGUCAGUAAAUUGUGCCUAAUUUCCAUGAGAUGCUUUGAACGGGGAUGUCAGUGACCUUUGUUUUAGUGCUGUAAAUGAACUCCACUAAGUGAUUACUUUUAUUACACUGUCUGCUUUACUACACUUGGAUGUUGUUCUCCCCGAGGUAGGAGCAUUAAUUCAGCUACACACGUCUGCCGGGCAUACUGAUAUAAAUAUCCCUGGGUUGUGGCAAAUGAAAAGCCCAAAUCCGUUACACAUAUAAUGAAUUCGGCUAGGUGAAUGGUGCAUAACAAUAAACAUGGUGUGAAUGACCUAUGAUGAUCGCCAAUAAACAUAAAUCCCAAAACGUAAAAGGCAGGUUUUAAAUGUGUCAAAUGAGGAUUUAAUUACAGUUCCUCUUUAUUAUUAUGCAAAUUAUAUUUAUUAUUAUUCUUAUAGUAUUAUAAUUUAUAUAUGUUUUAUGUCUAUUUAAUACAUUUAAAAACAUAAAAUUAGUUAUUGUAAUAAUAAUAAAAAGUUUUAUUUGACAACACAUUUACUAAUUUGGGGAAGAAACAUCUGUUCUGUAUUUGGUAGCCUGAACCAAAUAGCUAUUUACCCAGCCAUUAUCCAAAAAUUCCAUAUGGUAAAUAAUAGAAAAAGGGAAUCAGUAAAAACAAAACUAAUAAAUUAAAUAUUUGCCUUUAUAAAUUAAAUGCCUUUAUGAUGUUGGAUUAAACAAUAUGCUGGAUGUCAUUAUUGAAAACUAUAAGUUAGUAUUUCAGUGUUGUACACUCUAUAAUAAGUAACAUUUGGACUUUAAAACAGACAUAUGUUUGUACUUAUUUUUCAUGACGAACAUCACAAAAUUACCCGAAUUCAAUAAACAAAUGCAAAGUCUUGAAUUGAAUUCAUAAAGAUUUAGGAUUUAUGGAUGGGACCUUUGUCAGAUUCUGUCUCAUGCUUGGUUUUAAAAUGAUCAUAGGAAGCCAAGAUAAUAAUCAUUAAAAAAAGUUUGACUUCUUAUAGCUGAAUCUGUCUGUCAUCUGUCCGGUUGAUUCUCCUCAAUUUAAAAUUGCCGUAGAGACAAUUACUGUGGGCUCCUUCUAAUUAGAAGAACUGAAAUCUAUGAGAACGUGGUAUGAAUUAUUGAGUUCCUUUUCCAGGAAGGGUCGCUGUUAAAACAAAUACUUUUUGUUAGACCUUUUGUCAGUGUGUUGCUGAAGGUCUGAAUGGAAAAGAAUACAGGUGUGUGUCUCCCUCUGGUGGUGCUAAAAAAAUCUAAUUUGUAUGUUUCAAAAUGGCGGUGGUAACAAGCUUUUUCUGGUGGAUACCAUUUGGUCUAAUGGCUCGGAUUUGGUGCCCUAAGGAAUUUUCCUAAGCCUUUUAAUUGAAGCCAAACAUUAGAUCUCUUUGAAGUUUUUGAUCGAAUAAUACGGAUGUUUUUAAAGUAUUCGACAAAUCAAGCUCUAACAUUUAAUUCAAGCCAAACUGCAGAUGUUUUUAAUGUAUUCGACUUAAACUAUGACUUCAUUUGCAUAAUUGUGUCCCUGAUUGUCUAGUGGCUAGGAUUUGGUGCUUUCACCGCUGUGGCCCGGGUUCAAUUUCCGGUCAGGGAAGUCAGAUAUAAAGUGUUAAAUUCCUGGUCAGGGAAUUCAAGCUUUAACUUUUAAUUCAAGCCAAACUGCAGAUGUUUUUAAUGUAUUCGACUUAAACUAUGACUUCAUUUGCAUAAUUGUGUCCCUGAUGGUCUAGUGGCUAGGAUUUGGCGCUUUCACCGCCGCGGCCCGGGUUCAAUUCCCGGUCACGGAAAUGAGAUUUAGAGUUUGGAAUUCCAGAUCCAACUUUUAAUUCAAGCCAAAUUGCAGAUGUUAUGGAAUUCCAGAUCCAACUUUUAAUUCAAGCCAAACUGCAGAUGUUUUUAAAGUUUUCGACUUAAAUUAAGACUUCAUUAGCAUAAUCAUGUCCCUGAUGGUCUAGUGGCUAGGAUUCGGCGCUCUCACCGCCGCGGCCCGGGUUCAAUUUCCGGUCAGGGAAGUCAGAUAUAAAGUGUUAAAUUCCUGGUCAGGGAAUUCAAGCUUUAACUUUUAAUUCAAGCCAAACUGCAGAUGUUUUUAAAGCAUUCGACUUAAACUAUGACUUCAUUUGCAUAAUUGUGUCCCUGAGGGUCUAGUGGCUAGGAUUUGGCGCUUUCACCGCUGUGGCCAGGGUUCAAUUUCCGGUCAGGGAAGUCAGAUAUAAAGUGUUAAAUUCCUGGUCAGGGAAUUCCAGCUUUAACUUUUAAUUCAAGCCAAACUGCAGAUUUUUUUAAUGUAUUCGACUUAAACUAUGACUUCAUUUGCAUAAUUGUGUCCCUGAGGGUCUAGUGGCUAGGAUUUGGCGCUUUCACCGCUGUGGCCCGGGUUCAAUUUCCGGUCAGGGAAGUCAGAUAUAAAGUGUUAAAUUCCUGGUCAGGGAAUUCAAGCUUUAACUUUUAAUUCAAGCCAAACUGCAGAUGUUUUUAAAGUUUUCGACUUAAAUUAAGACUUCAUUAGCAUAAUCAUGUCCCUGAUGGUCUAGUGGCUAGGAUUCGGCGCUCUCACCGCCGCGGCCCGGGUUCAAUUCCCGCUCAGGGAAAUGAGAUUUAGAGUUUGGAAUUCCAGAUCCAAGGGCGGCACGGUGGCGUGGUGGUUAGCACUGUCGCCUCACAGCAAGAAGGUCCUGGGUUCGAUUCUGCCCAGAGGCCUUUCUGUGUGGAGUCUGCAUGUUCUCCCCGUGUCUGCGUGGGUUCUCUCCGGCUUCCUCCCGCAGUCCAAAGACAUGCUCUGGGGAUCAGGUUAAUUGGGGACUUUAAAUUGCCCGUAGAUGUGUGAAUGUGAGUGUGAAUGGUUGUCUGUCUCUGUGUGGCCCUGCGAUUGGCUGGCGACCAAUCCAGGAUGUACCCUGUCUAUCGCCCGAAGUUGGCUGGGAUGGACUCCAGCCCCCCCGCGACCCUGUGUGCAGGAUAAGCGGUUUGACAAUGGAUGGAUGGAUGGAAUUCCAGAUCCAACUUUUAAUUCAAGCCAAACUACAGAUGUUUUUAAAGCAUUCGACUUAAACUAUGACUCCAUUUGCAUAAUUGUGUCCCUGAGGGUCUAGUGGCUAGGAUUUGGCGCUUUCACAGCUGUGGCCCGGGUUCAAUUUCCGGUCAGGGAAAUCAGAUAUAAAGUGUUAAAUUCCUAGUCAGGGAAUUGAAGCUCUAAAUUUUAAUUCAAGCCAAACUACAGAUGUUUUUAAAGCAUUCGACUUAAACUAUGACUCCAUUUGCAUAAUUGUGUCCCUGAUGGUCUAGUGGCUAGGAUUUGGCGCUUUCACAAAUGUGGCCCGGGUUCAAUUUCCGGUCAGGGAAGUCAGAUAUAAAGUGUUAAAUUCCUGGUCAGGGAAUUCAAGCUUUAACUUUUAAUUCAAGCCAAACUGCAGAUGUUUUUAAUGUAUUCGACUUAAACUAUGACUUCAUUUGCAUAAUUGUGUUCCUGAUGGUCUAGUGGCUAGGAUUUGGCGCUCUCACCGCCGCGGCCCGGGUUCAAUUCCCGGUCAGGGAAAUGAGAUUUAGAGUUUGGAAUUCCAGAUCCAACUUUUAAUUCAAGCCAAACUGCAGAUGUUUUUUAAGUUUUUGACUUAAACUAUGACUUCAUUUGCAUAAUCAUGUCCCUGAUGGUCUAGUGGCUAGGAUUCGGCGCUCUCACCGCCGCGGCCCGGGUUCAAUUCCCGGUCAGGGAAAUGAGAUUUAGAGUUUGGAAUUCCAGAUCCAACUUUUAAUUCAAGCCAAACUGCAGAUGUUUUUUAAGUUUUUGACUUAAACUAUGACUUCAUUUGCAUAAUCAUGUCCCUGAUGGUCUAGUGGCUAGGAUUCGGCGCUCUCACCGCCGCGGCCCGGGUUCAAUUCCCGGUCAGGGAAAUGAGAUUUAGAGUUUGGAAUUGCAGAUCCAACUUUUAAUUCAAGCCAAACUACAGAUGUUUUUAAAGCAUUCGACUUAAACUAUGACUUCAUUUGCAUAAUUGUGUCCCUGACGGUCUAUCGGCUAGGAUUCGGCGCUCUCACCGCCGCGGCCCGGGUUCAAUUCCCGGUCAGGGAAAUGAGAUUUAGAGUUUGGGAAUUCCAGAUCCAACUUUU